GAUGAAGAACGUAGUGAAAUGCGAUAAGUAAUGUGAAUUGCAGAAUUCAGUGAAUCAUCGAAUCUUUGAACGCACAUUGCGCCCCCUGGUAUUCCGGGGGGCAUGCCUGUUCGAGCGUCAUUUCACCACUCAAGCCUCGCUUGGUAUUGGGCAACGCGGUCCGCCGCGUGCCUCAAAUCGACCGGCUGGGUCUUCUGUCCCCUAAGCGUUGUGGAAACUAUUCGCUAAAGGGUGUUCGGGAGGCUACGCCGUAAAACAACCCCAUUUCUAAGGUUGACCUCGGAUCAGGUAGGGAUACCCGCUGAACUUAAGCAUAUCAUAAGCGGAGGA
Molecule: unclassified non-coding RNA, 330 nt
Filed under: soil metagenome
Description: partial contains 5.8S ribosomal RNA, internal transcribed spacer 2, and large subunit ribosomal RNA
Rfam family: 5.8S ribosomal RNA (bases 1-120)
Source: RNAcentral